AGUGAACGCUGGCGGUAGGCCUAACACAUGCAAGUCGAACGGCAGCACAGUAAGAGCUUGCUCUUACGGGUGGCGAGUGGCGGACGGGUGAGGAAUACAUCGGAAUCUACUUUUUCGUGGGGGAUAACGUAGGGAAACUUACGCUAAUACCGCAUACGGCCUACGGGUGAAAGCAGGGGAUCUUCGGACCUUGCGCGAUUGAAUGAGCCGAUGUCGGAUUAGCUAGUUGGCGGGGUAAAGGCCCACCAAGGCGACGAUCCGUAGCUGGUCUGAGAGGAUGAUCAGCCACACUGGAACUGGGACACGGUCCAGACUCCUACGGGAGGCAGCAGUGGGGAAUAUUGGACAAUGGGCGCAAGCCUGAUCCAGCCAUACCGCGUGGGUGAAGAAGGCCUUCGGGUUGUAAAGCCCUUUUGUUGGGAAAGAAAAGCAGCAGGUUAAUACCCCGCUGUUCUGACGGUACCCAAAGAAUAAGCACCGGCUAACUUCGUG
RNAcentral lists this ribosomal RNA (492 nucleotides) under uncultured bacterium. Its description in RNAcentral is "partial 16S ribosomal RNA". It matches the Rfam family "Bacterial small subunit ribosomal RNA", at positions 29 to 507 of the family's 1533-position model. The record is from RNAcentral.